RNAcentral lists this transfer RNA (85 nucleotides) under Alphaproteobacteria bacterium MarineAlpha6_Bin3. RNAcentral's name for it is "tRNA-Leu". It matches the Rfam family "tRNA". From Rfam's summary of the family: Transfer RNA (tRNA) molecules are approximately 80 nucleotides in length. RNAcentral also lists the same sequence under 3 other names. The record is from RNAcentral. Lineage: Bacteria; Pseudomonadati; Pseudomonadota; Alphaproteobacteria.
GCGGGUGUGGCGGAAUUGGUAGACGCGCUGGUCUUAGGAACCAGUGGAUUUUUCCAUGGGGGUUCAAGUCCCUCCACCCGCACCA